Molecule: long non-coding RNA, 960 nt
Filed under: Equus asinus (donkey)
Lineage: Eukaryota; Metazoa; Chordata; Mammalia; Perissodactyla; Equidae
Description: lncRNA (ENSEASG00005028967.1)
Source: RNAcentral
CGUGCAGGCGCCACGGAAUGCUGCCAAAGGAAGCAGUGUUUAAACCGGGACCCAGAGAUGAGUAAGAAUGAGCAGGGAGAGGGGUGGGAGGGGAAGAGGAGAAGAACAGGUGCGAAGCCCUCAGGCAAGGAAGCUCGGCAUGGCUGCUCCUGGGGCAGGACAGCUGGGGAGGAGGUGGCCAGGGUGGCCAGGCCCCCCCGAGACCCCCAGGAGGGUCAGGAUGCUGCUGCACCAGGCGGACUUCCCACUGGGGCGAUGGGGCCUCGGGUGUCAGGAAGAGCUUUCUGGGGCCAAGUCUGGGAGGAUGGCAGGGGGGAAACUGAGAGGCCAGGAGGCCAGCGAGAGGCCCAAACUGAGGUAGUGGCAGGUGGUGGAAUGGUGGAGCUGAGAGCACGGCUCGUUAAGCACUGGCCCAGGCUGGGAAUCCUACAAAACUCCAGGUUGUGUUUGGUAAACGUGAGAGGUCCCACAUGAGCUCAAAGACUGUAAAGACAAGAGAAGCCUCUCCUAAACAGACGGAACAGAAGGAAAGAUGUUUGCCACUCAGGCGGACGAACACGUUGGCCGCCCUGCCCAGUGGAGAAUGGACAUGGCGUGGCAUGGGGGGAGGGGAUCAAACAUGGAAGCUGCGAGACCAGUUUGGAUGCAGUGGCACCCAUCCAGGAAUUGCCAACGAGGGAAGUGGCAGCGAGGGAGAGAUCAAGGACCAUUCCCAGCUUUCGAUCGAUCGGAGUGACCGGGGAGAGGAUGAUGUCCUUUACAAACCAGGGGAAGACUCAGGGCAAAGAUUGUGGGCACCCGCAGGGACGAUGGGGGAGUUAAGCAAGGCACACGGCGGGUACCAGAAAAACUGCCAACCGAGAGCUGGUCGGGAACACAACAAGAAGACCGACGUGAGGGGCCGUCUGCUCAUCCCGCAAACGCUCGUUUUCCUGGAUCUCUCACGCCGGGCUGUUCCAG